CUGUACCGGGGUUUUACCAUUACACCAACUUCUACGUUUCUUGCAAAACCUACAUUAUAUGUGGGAUUGAUAACAAAACACGUAAUUUCAGUUAUCAUGGUUGUAGUUUAGAUUUUUAUAUUUGAGAUAUUGUAUACAUUUUUUAAAUACCUCAUCCAUGUUUUCACAUUAGUCAUUUUUCACUUUGAUGGGGUUUGACAUGCUUAUAUCAUGCAAUAGGAAUGACUUUAAAGUUAUCAUUUACAUCUUAUUCGGGAUUCAGAUCAUAAUUCAUGUGUUCUUGAGUUCACUAGUUUUGGUCAAUUCUUUCCAACUUCAUUUCUAGCCACUUUAGUUCAUUCCAACACUUGAAUUAUAUCUAGUUAAGACUAUUUCUAGCAUUCCUUUAGGUUUACCAAGCAUAGAUUGGGUUUUGACCCUUUAAACCUAGCUUUUUCAAGCUUUUACAUACUAACUUCUCAGGUUAUUGCAUACAUUAGCAUUCCAACACUUGGAAUGGCCUAGCAUAACUCUAACUCAGUUGUCUAAGGUGUCCAAACUAAGUUCUAGGCCAAAUGAAAAAAUCUCAAAUUUUCAUACUUAGACAAAUUUGCAAAAGCUAUAGUUUUAAUGAUUUUCCAUGCUAGUUUGGUGAUUUGUUUAAACUUCUUGGUUAAGACAAGAGCUUAACCACUUAUUAGCCCUACUUCUAGACCAUACUACAAGGUAUUUUAAUCAAGGUUUAAGUUUUUUGUUCAUGCCCAUUAAGCUCCCCAAAAACAGAGCUCAAACUAAGAAAUUUUCUUACUUUUUUUACAAAACUGAUUUUGUACUUUUUCCAAAUUUUUCCAGUUCUGGCCACUAGGAUAGUCUAGACAUAUAUUUAAGUUACUUAAGGUUACUUUUAGCAUCACCACACUUUAUUUAAUCAUCUAGCUCAUUUUGACUUAUCAAAGCUCACUUUAGGCUUGAAAAAGAUAUCUUAAAUUGAUUUUCUUGCUAGCUUUGGUCAUGGUCAUGUUUGGGAAUCAUUACUAGCAUGUAUGAGCAGCUUUGUAUCUGCUCAUAACAGUCCUUUAAGGUCAGGUACUAUGAAUUGUCCAAAAUAGUCCAUUUUUUACUUUAAAAUGUGAUUUUUAACAAGUCUCAUGCUCAAAAUGGCUUAGACUUAGUUCCUUUAGCUUGUGUAGCUUUCUUAUGUCCUAUUAUGACUAUUGAAACUUGCCUACAUGGUCCAUGUAUGUUAAUUUUGUAGUUGAGUGUUAGUUGACAUUUAAAGCUAAUUUCUUUUAGCGUGAUUUUUGGGCAAUACCCAACUUAGGCCUUAACUAACCUAAGGGACAACUUUUAAAUGAUAUAUAUAGGUAAUAUAGGGACUUCAUACUGUCUCAAAACUUCAGUUGCCAAAAUUUACUAUAACAAUUCAUAUAUAUGCAUAGUUUUGAUCAUUUCAUAAACUGUCCAUAUGAAGGCAAAAGAAACCUUUAGGCAUUCAAACAACUUUUAAAACAUGAUAUUAAUAUUACCUUAUAUCAAUUAUCAUGCUUGUAACAGUUAGUUGUCUUUCUAAUAUUCAAAACAGUCCAUUCAAAGCAUUUUGAGCAUAGUUUAACACUGAAUUAUCAUAACAGUGCCCAAGUAUUCAAAUACAAACAUUAUCACACCAUAUAUUUACUAUAUACACUACAUACAUGUUUUAACACACAUGAGUGCAAGGCUUUCAUGCUUUUGACCAAAACAGCCCAUUUCUAGGCUUUGUAGGCAUAGUUUAAUACUAAACCACCAUAACAGCCUUCAAGCUUUCAAAUACAAGUUUUACCACAACAAGUACAUGCCAUAUACUAUAUGUUCAAGGUUUAAAACAUCUAUAUUCAAGGAUUCUAGCUUUAGUUCAAAACAUCCCCUAGUAGGCUCUUAAAUGCCACAAGGAAGCAUGGUUUGACAAUCCAGUUAACAAAAUAGCAUGGUUAUACAACACGUCAGCUUUGACUAAUCUUUUACAUAAGAUUUAACAUGUACAGCUUAAGUCCGGAUGGUCUACAUCAGUUUACAUAUUGACAGUCCACAACAAAGCCUUUAGCAAGCAUUCAAGCUUUCAAAACAGGGGCAUGGUCCGGCCUGUUUUAAACAGGUCCAAACUACCCUAUUUUGACUAAGAAUGAAACUUAAAACUUCACCAUUAAUAGCCUUCAAGGUUUGGUAUAUUUACCCCAUGUUAUAACAUAACAACCUCACUAGAAACAAGGCAUAACAGUUGUAUGAUCUGUUUCUAAUAACAGUCAACAUGACUUUACUUGGGCUUCUAACAAAAUUAUCAUGGUUUGUACAUUACAUGGAAACAUGCUACACUUAAUCAUGGAAUGAGACUUAAGACAUUACUCUUACUAUGAUAGCAUAUAGAUAUGGUUUUAGACUUGAUCACACAGCUAAUAUGCUUUUAAUACAUAACGGCCCUUAUUUAGUCCAUUUGUCAAAUAGGUAGUGUGCAAUCCACAUAUAGACACAUAGUACAUAAAGAAAAAUAGUCCUUCAAGCUCUUAACACAAGUGUUAUAACAUCAUGUAUUUGCUAUAUAAUAUAUAUUCAUGCUUUAAAGAGUCUAUAUACAAGGCUUCUUACUGUAGUUCAAAACAGAACUUAAAAAAAUGCCCAAUCAUAACAAUUUUAACUUUUUCCCAGCUUUACCCUCUCUCGCUAAAACAGUCAUAACUUUUUCGUUUCAAAACAUUUUUGAGCGAUUCUUGAGCCCACGCGAAGAUAACUUCUGGGGCUACAACUUUCAUUCUUUGACCAUUCUCAAAUUCAAAACACAGAAUUACAGAAUUUCGUGCAAAGGGGACUGGUCGGAAUUGGUUGGACAGUUUUGACGCGACUACUUUGAAUUGUCGUAACUCUUUACUACGAAGUCGGAAUUAGUUCGUUUCGGAGUCUAUGGAAAGCUUAUUAAGUGUACUAUAAUACCCCAAAAGCCUAAAAUUUUUUGGAUACAUAUACUGUCCCCGAAUUUAUGUUUUAGGGUCAGCAGUCAAACAAUCUAUCGGACUUUUCGUUUUGUCUCAAGUGUUAAUCUACCUUAGAUUGUUAGUUAUUUUGAGACAUGUUAAGGUCAAGCAUAGAGUAUGCUUAUAUAAACAAUUUGACACUAGUUUGGACUCUUAAUCAUAGUUAAUAUUCAUAGAUGCCACAUCAGUCCUUAGCUUGGCAAUUUAUUAAACUGGUAGAGUGCAGUUUAUAUACAUACCUAUAAUACAUAUAUUCUCAGUCACUUGGUCCCAGCCUUAUGGCUUUAAAACAACAAUGAUCUUUAAGCAUAAUGACAAUUAUAGCAAACACCACCUUUUUCACAUAAUAAUCAUUACAGAGAAUUCAUAGCCAAUACAAAAGUAGCCUAACAUGGUCACAAAGCCAUCCGGCCAAGACUGUCCUAUCUGUUUAUUAACCAGAGCAUGGAAAAGGAUUGGAAAAGGCCAGAAUUACCUUAUCUUGCUGCUCCGAAGAUUACCAAUGAGUUGAGCUUCUCUAUCUCUCCUACUUUUCAAUCGGCUCUCUUUCUUUUUCUUUCUUACUGUGCUAGAGUCUUUGGAGAAUCAGCAAAGUGGUGGAACCUUGGGUUAUAUAACUGAGUCCUCUCUCUCAGUCAGUCACACUAAGCUUGGCCCCUAAUCUGCUUCAUUAUUAUCCUACACAGCUCUACUUAGUCUAACUUCAGUCCCCUUUCUUUGAGUUGCCUCCUAAGAGACUACCCCUAGCAGACAGUUGGCUCCUAUGUAGCUUCUUAUCUGGCCCUAUACAGCAACCUAUACUGGCCUCUUGCAGCUACUUGACCCCUAACAGCCUCCUAUAACUUAGCCUCUAACUAAGUACAAACCAACUAACUGAUUUCUCUCUUGGAACCAACUAUGCUAACUGUUCACUAAUAAUACUCAGCUCAUUUAACCCAACGUGGACUGCUGGGAUGGCCAAUAAAAUGGGUUAUGUAUGGAUUUUUAAAUUGGGCUUCAUGUAAAAUUUUAAUACUAGUAAAAUCCAUAACUCUAACAAUUAUGAAGGAGGCUUGCAAGAAUAUAUAUACUAUAAUUGGGUUAGCCCAAUUUAUAUAUAUUGGACUUUUAAAUAAAGUAUGGGUUCAAAAUCUUAAAAGGUAAUGCAACACAUUUGCAAGCAUACUUUGCAAAAUUUAAUGUGGUCCAAUAUUUCAUUAUGGACUUCUAUUAAAUUUAAAACACAUGAAUUUUUAUCUAUCAAUUUCCUUUUAGGCUAGCAACAAUAGUUUGCACAUAUAUCAUUAAAAUGACAACUCUAUUUAAUUUACAAAACUCGUGAUAAUACAUACUUUUGACUUUAUUUGGCAAUAAUUGCCAUUAUUGAAUGAUUUUAAUUAUAUUAUAAUAUAAUCAUUUCUUUAAACAUAUAGAUAGCUUUAUGCCAAGAAUCUUUCUCAAAUAAGUCAUGUUGGCUUUUCUUUUCAUUCUUGAUAUUGAAAUAUCAUUUUAAUAAUGUAUGUUAUUCUUCUCUUCCUUUAAUAAAUUGCCCCUACAAUUUAUAAAUAGAGAAUACCACUAUAUUUAUUAAGCAUAAGCAUCACAUAUUGCAUAGUUCAUACCCACGUAUGCAAUAUAAUAUCAUACAACAUAUUAUCUAAUAAGAAUUUUAUUUUUUUAAUUCUUAUUUUAAUAUUACCCAAAAUUUGGGUUAUCACAUUCUUUUCCGUCCCCGAAAUCAUAAUACCGAAACAUUCUUAAUCGGUUUAGAUCUUAUUCUUUCUCGUAACCUUAUCGUUGAAUCAUUUCAAUAUACCAUUUCCUUAGAUUUUUUUCUUAAAAAUCUAAAAUAAAUCAUCUAUUUUCACUCUAGGUUUUAAACUUUAACAUUUAAUUUAAUCAUUCAAGAUCUUCUAAAUUUUCGGGUUGUCACAAUAUUUAUGCGGUGCUAUGUCUAUGUUUGUGUGUCAGUUCGACGCCCAAGGCAUGUUUUGGUCUCUUUUUGACUAUUUUUCUAAUUUUCAAUUGAAUAGUUCGUUUAUAGAUAUUCAAAUGAGCAUGAGAUAGCCACUCUAAGCACUUUUAAUAGUUGAUGAGUAAAUUAUUAUGCAUUUGCAUUGGUCUUUUUUAGCAUAAAUAGUCAUUAUGUUCAAGAAUGAAGAAAGAUAAUUUCUUCUGGUUUUAGCUUAGUAAAUGGUCUCCUUUGUUUCUUGCAUACUAGUAUAAGAAAGCAGUGGUGUGAGUCCUAUACGAAGUCAUCUUCUUGAUUUUCUCAACCUUUUAUCUAACCAAAACUAAAUUGCUAAAAAAACCCUAUAUUUUAAGGCAUACAAUCCAAAACCCACAAAAUUCAAAAGAUUUCUAAUUGUAACUCCAAGUAAGAAUCCCACACUAUUAAUUUGACUCUAGUAUACCUCAAACAAACUCAAAUGUAAUAACAAAUUGCUAAGGGCUAACACAUAAUAUGUAGAGCAGAACCAUUUUACACAUUACAAAUUGCUAACACAUAAUUUUUACACUACAGUAUGCUAACAUAUAAUAGAGAUGGAUAAAGCUCAAAAAGGGUAGAAUAUAUACUACUUAGCAGGAAAGAAAAUAGAAGCAUGAGAACAUAAAUAAAUUGAAGACCCAAAUUAAACGCUAACAUAAAUAAAUUGGAACUUACAAAUUAAAGCCUAAGAAUAAAAAAAUUAACUUACUAAUUGAAGCUUGGAAAAUGGAGAACCAGCAGAGGUGGGAACGAAAAAGAGGUGGAGGCGCAGGUUACUUGUAACAGAGUAGGCCAAAGAAAGGGGAUGAAAAAAGGGGAAGGCCAGACGAUGAGAGAGACGGCCAGAUGGUGAAGAGGACGAUGAUGAAGAUGGAGAUGGCAACAGCAAGGAUGAGGUGUAGAAGCAACGACGAAAGAAAGAGAGGGAAAGAACAG
This 5886-nucleotide long non-coding RNA is filed under the name Panax ginseng (ginseng). Its description in RNAcentral is "long non-coding RNA (PGIN_LNC017673)". Lineage: Eukaryota; Viridiplantae; Streptophyta; Magnoliopsida; Apiales; Araliaceae. The record is from RNAcentral.